This 84-nucleotide transfer RNA is filed under the name Arthrobacter sp. Bi83. RNAcentral describes it as "tRNA-Ala". The record is from RNAcentral. Lineage: Bacteria; Bacillati; Actinomycetota; Actinomycetes; Micrococcales; Micrococcaceae.
CGAUGUCUAUCUUAGGCCGGAGGAUGUCGUUGGCGCCGGCGUAGAUGCUUACGAGCGUCGGUUUGAGGCCGACGGCGGCGUCCA